RNAcentral lists this small RNA (38 nucleotides) under uncultured Symbiodinium. RNAcentral describes it as "partial Mitochondrion-encoded tmRNA". Lineage: Eukaryota; Dinophyceae; Suessiales; Symbiodiniaceae. The record is from RNAcentral.
ACCCAAGGCAGAAUUUAAUAUUUACAUUUAAUUUAAAU